This 453-nucleotide ribosomal RNA is filed under the name uncultured Paraprevotella sp. RNAcentral describes it as "partial 16S ribosomal RNA". It matches the Rfam family "Bacterial small subunit ribosomal RNA", at positions 341 to 792 of the family's 1533-position model. The record is from RNAcentral. Lineage: Bacteria; Pseudomonadati; Bacteroidota; Bacteroidia; Bacteroidales; Prevotellaceae.
ACGGGAGGCAGCAGUGAGGAAUAUUGGUCGAUGGGCGCGAGCCUGAACCAGCCAAGUAGCGUGAGGGAUGACUGCCCUACGGGUUGUAAACCUCUUUUGUUUGGGAAUAAAGGAGCCUACGUGUAGGCUUUUGCAUGUACCUUUCGAAUAAGCAUCGGCUAAUUCCGUGCCAGCAGCCGCGGUAAUACGGAAGAUGCGAGCGUUAUCCGGAUUUAUUGGGUUUAAAGGGAGCGUAGGCGGACUGUUAGGUCUGUGGUCAAAUGUCAGGGCCCAACCUUGGCAUGCCAUGGAAACCGGCGGUCUUGAAUACACGCAAGGCAGAUGGAAUUCGUCGUGUAGCGGUGAAAUGCUUAGAUAUGACGAAGAACUCCGAUUGCGAAGGCAGUCUGCUGGAGUGCGAUUGACGCUGAGGCUCGAAAGCGCGGGUAUCAAACAGGAUUAGAUACCCUGGUA